UGGGGAAUAUUGCACAAUGGGGGAAACCCUGAUGCAGCGACGCCGCGUGAGCGAAGAAGUAUCUCGGUAUGUAAAGCUCUAUCAGCAGGGAAGAAGAUGACGGUACCUGACUAAGAAGCACCGGCUAAAUACGUGCCAGCAGCCGCGGUAAUACGUAUGGUGCAAGCGUUAUCCGGAUUUACUGGGUGUAAAGGGAGCGUAGACGGAGAAGCAAGUCUGGAGUGAAAGCCCGGGGCUCAACCCCGGGACUGCUUUGGAAACUGUUUUUCUAGAGUGCCGGAGAGGUAAGCGGAAUUCCUAGUGUAGCGGUGAAAUGCGUAGAUAUUAGGAGGAACACCAGUGGCGAAGGCGGCUUACUGGACGGUAACUGACGUUGAGGCUCGAAAGCGUGGGGAGCAAACA
Molecule: ribosomal RNA, 402 nt
Filed under: uncultured bacterium
Lineage: Bacteria
Description: bacterial SSU rRNA
Rfam family: Bacterial small subunit ribosomal RNA
Source: RNAcentral